UGGGGAAUUUUGGACAAUGGGCGAAAGCCUGAUCCAGCAAUGCCGCGUGUGUGAAGAAGGCCUUCGGGUUGUAAAGCACUUUUGUCCGGAAAGAAAUCCUCUGGGUUAAUACCUCGGGGGGAUGACGGUACCGGAAGAAUAAGCACCGGCUAACUACGUGCCAGCAGCCGCGGUAAUACGUAGGGUGCAAGCGUUAAUCGGAAUUACUGGGCGUAAAGCGUGCGCAGGCGGUUUUGUAAGACGGAUGUGAAAUCCCCGGGCUUAACCUGGGAACUGCAUUCGUGACUGCAAGGCUAGAGUAUGGCAGAGGGGGGUUAGAAUUCCACGUGUGAACAGUGAAAUGCGUAGAGAUGUGGAGGAAUACCGAUGGCGAAGGCAGCCCCCUGGGCCAAAUACUGACGCUCAUGCACGAAAGCGUGGGGAGCAAACAGGAUUAGAUACCCUGGUAGUCCACGCCCUAAACGAUGUCAACUAGUUGUUGGGGAUUCAUUUCCUUAGUAACGUAGCUAACGCGUGAAGUUGACCGCCUGGGGAGUACGGUCGCAAGAUUAAAACUCAAAUGAAUU
This 566-nucleotide ribosomal RNA is filed under the name uncultured bacterium. Its description in RNAcentral is "partial 16S ribosomal RNA". It matches the Rfam family "Bacterial small subunit ribosomal RNA", at positions 355 to 911 of the family's 1533-position model. The record is from RNAcentral.